This 336-nucleotide unclassified non-coding RNA is filed under the name soil metagenome. RNAcentral describes it as "partial contains 5.8S ribosomal RNA, internal transcribed spacer 2, and large subunit ribosomal RNA". The stretch from base 1 to 120 matches the Rfam family "5.8S ribosomal RNA", at positions 35 to 154 of the family's 154-position model. The record is from RNAcentral.
GAUGAAGAACGUAGCGAAAUGCGAUAAGUAGUGUGAAUUGCAGAAUUCAGUGAAUCAUCGAAUCUUUGAACGCACAUUGCGCCCCUUGGUAUUCCAUGGGGCAUGCCUGUUCGAGCGUCAUUUGUACCUUCAAGCUUUGCUUGGUGUUGGGUGUUUGUCUCGCCUUUGCGUGUAGACUCGCCUUAAAAUAAUUGGCAGCCGGCGUAUUGAUUUCGGAGCGCAGUACAUCUCGCGCUUUGCACUCAUAACGACAGCGUCCAAAAGUACAUUUUACACUCUUGACCUCGGAUCAGGUAGGGAUACCCGCUGAACUUAAGCAUAUCAAUGAGCGGAGGA